AUCCUGGCUCAGAUUGAACGCUGGCGGCAGGCCUAACACAUGCAAGUCGAGCGGUAGAGAGAAGCUUGCUUCUCUUGAGAGCGGCGGACGGGUGAGUAAUGCCUAGGAAUCUGCCUGGUAGUGGGGGAUAACGUUCGGAAACGGACGCUAAUACCGCAUACGUCCUACGGGAGAAAGCAGGGGACCUUCGGGCCUUGCGCUAUCAGAUGAGCCUAGGUCGGAUUAGCUAGUUGGUGAGGUAAUGGCUCACCAAGGCGACGAUCCGUAACUGGUCUGAGAGGAUGAUCAGUCACACUGGAACUGAGACACGGUCCAGACUCCUACGGGAGGCAGCAGUGGGGAAUAUUGGACAAUGGGCGAAAGCCUGAUCCAGCCAUGCCGCGUGUGUGAAGAAGGUCUUCGGAUUGUAAAGCACUUUAAGUUGGGAGGAAGGGCAGUUACCUAAUACGUGAUUGUUUUGACGUUACCGACAGAAUAAGCACCGGCUAACUCUGUGCCAGCAGCCGCGGUAAUACAGAGGGUGCAAGCGUUAAUCGGAAUUACUGGGCGUAAAGCGCGCGUAGGUGGUUAGUUAAGUUGGAUGUGAAAUCCCCGGGCUCAACCUGGGAACUGCAUUCAAAACUGACUGACUAGAGUAUGGUAGAGGGUGGUGGAAUUUCCUGUGUAGCGGUGAAAUGCGUAGAUAUAGGAAGGAACACCAGUGGCGAAGGCGACCACCUGGACUGAUACUGACACUGAGGUGCGAAAGCGUGGGAGCAACAG
RNAcentral lists this ribosomal RNA (762 nucleotides) under Pseudomonas sp. CUL-ADBH6A6. RNAcentral's name for it is "bacterial SSU rRNA". It matches the Rfam family "Bacterial small subunit ribosomal RNA", at positions 16 to 775 of the family's 1533-position model. Lineage: Bacteria; Pseudomonadati; Pseudomonadota; Gammaproteobacteria; Pseudomonadales; Pseudomonadaceae. The record is from RNAcentral.